Long non-coding RNA from Oreochromis aureus, 522 nucleotides. Lineage: Eukaryota; Metazoa; Chordata; Actinopteri; Cichliformes; Cichlidae. The record is from Ensembl.
CUACUCACAAUCCAAGGCAGCCAUGUUGACAUGGUAACAGUGCUGGAGAUGACGGUGGCGCUCUUAAAGACAGUUCAGGAAGUAGUCCCAGCUGAGGACCCAAACAUACAGAUGAUUCAGGCUGAAGGAUGAUGACUAUAAUGAUGAGGGUGCUUUGAUGUGAUCGUCAGCUGUGUCCUCCUGCCGCCCUUCAUGCUCAUUAGCUGUCAGAGAGUCAGAAGAUCCGGGAGGCCGGACACAAGAUGGCGGCUGACCAGAACCAGAGGAAGGUGAACAGGCAAGGAGGCGCCUCACUGAUGGAGGCGAAGAAGAGGAGCAGGAGACGGACAGAUGGAGACUGAAAGUAGAGUGAUGACAUCAUCCUACUGUCGCCAUGGCAGCUGUCCAGUUGGUUUAGUUCAAGACUAUUACUUUGACAGGAGUCAUUUCCUGUAUCCUUGCUUAGAGGAUGAUGAUGAUGAAGAAGAAGAAGAUUGGUUUUUGGUUUUAAAAUUAGGUUGUGCUUCCUGUCUGUGAGCUGCA